RNAcentral lists this transfer RNA (77 nucleotides) under Pararhodospirillum photometricum DSM 122. RNAcentral describes it as "tRNA-His". The record is from RNAcentral. Lineage: Bacteria; Pseudomonadati; Pseudomonadota; Alphaproteobacteria; Rhodospirillales; Rhodospirillaceae.
AUCCGCUGGCCGAGGAGGGCUUUGCUUCGGUGGGUUGCUAUACCUGCUCGACGCGGGCCGAGGCGGGGGAGAACGCG